GAGGGAAAGGCGAAAAGAACCCCGGCGAGGGGAGUGAAAAAGAACCUGAAACCGUGUACGUACAAGCAGUAGGAGCCCCAUCACUCAAGUGCCUCGCACUGAGUGAUGCAAUAACAUCACCGAAAAUAGCGCCGAAUUUGCUAACAAGGUUGGUCGAUUUUUUCAAGCCGUCGCGCAGUGUACCUAGAAGUACACGAGCAACGGAAGUUAAAAAAUCGGGCAAGAUUGAACGCAAAGGCAAGCGGGACAUUUGAGGAUGGGGUGACUGCGUACCUUUUGUAUAAUGGGUCAGCGACUUAUAUUCUGUAGCGAGGUUAACCGUAUAGGGGAGCC
RNAcentral lists this ribosomal RNA (333 nucleotides) under Proteus mirabilis. Its description in RNAcentral is "partial 23S ribosomal RNA". It matches the Rfam family "Bacterial large subunit ribosomal RNA", at positions 505 to 667 of the family's 2925-position model. The record is from RNAcentral. Lineage: Bacteria; Pseudomonadati; Pseudomonadota; Gammaproteobacteria; Enterobacterales; Morganellaceae.